This 440-nucleotide ribosomal RNA is filed under the name uncultured bacterium. RNAcentral's name for it is "partial 16S ribosomal RNA". It matches the Rfam family "Bacterial small subunit ribosomal RNA", at positions 338 to 795 of the family's 1533-position model. The record is from RNAcentral.
CCUACGGGUGGCAGCAGUGGGGGAUAUUGCACAAUGGGGGAAACCCUGAUGCAGCGACGCCGCGUGGGCGAAGAAGUAUUUCGGUAUGUAAAGCCCUAUCAGCAGGGAAGAAAAUGACGGUACCUGACUACGAAUCCCCGGCUAACUACGUGCCAGCAGCCGCGGUACUACGUAGGGGGCAAGCGUUAUCCGGAUUUACUGGGGGUAAAGGGAGCGUAGACGGCUGUGCAAGCCAGCUGUGAAAGCCCGGGGCUCAACCCCGGGACUGCAUUUGGAACUGGGUGGCUGGAGUGUCGGAGAGGCAGGCGGAAUUCCUAGUGUAGCGGUGAAAUGCGUAGAUAUUAGGAGGAACACCAGUGGCGAAGGCGGCCUGCUGGACGAUGACUGACGUUGAGGCUCGAAAGCGUGGGGAGCAAACAGGAUUAGAUACCCCGGUAGUC